GACAGAGGUGCCAAGCGUUAGGCGGAAUCACUGGGCUUAAAGCGUGUGUAGGCGGAUCGUUAAGUACCUUGUGAAAUCCCACGGCUCAACCGUGGAACUGCUGGGUAUACUGGCGAUCUUGAGCCACCUAGGGGCAACUGGAACAAGCGGUGGAGCGGUGAAAUGCGUAGAUAUCGCUUGGAACGCCAACGGUGAAAACAGCUCGCUGGGGCCGCGCUGACGCUGAGACACGAAAGCCAGGGGAGCGAACGGG
This 253-nucleotide ribosomal RNA is filed under the name uncultured bacterium. RNAcentral's name for it is "partial 16S ribosomal RNA". It matches the Rfam family "Bacterial small subunit ribosomal RNA", at positions 524 to 776 of the family's 1533-position model. The record is from RNAcentral.